UAAGGCCUCUCACAGUGCACACAGCUGGCACGGUGCUAUGGGGCGCCACGUAGGAGUCGGUCUCGCGUGGAGGGAGGGCGCGCGUCCGUGGUGAGCUCCUCGCCCCCAUACUGAGCCGCGCGCAUCCUUCUCUCGCGAGGCGAGAAACCGAGGCGCGAGGCGAGCGCGUGCCCUCGUUUCCGCGUGCGCUCGAGGGCGGAUGCGAGCAGGAUUUCCGAUUUCGCCCUUCCAAAAUCGCGCUUCAACCCUAGUAUUUCCGUCUCCCGCGCCACUGCCUUCUCUUUCGCGCGCUCGUAUUUUUCCUCCAUUCCGUCGUCGGCUCCACUCCCGCCUCGCCAUCGCCGCCCUGAAGCCCCAAUCCAGGGCGGCCUCCCCGUCGCCGGCUGCUUUUCCCCUGUCGCUAUCCCCUCCGGAGAAGCGGCCGGUCGAGGUAUCCGUCGGUGGAGCGAGAUGGAUCCGAGGCUGGCAGACGCUUUCGCACGUUUUCUUCAAGAUCCAGCCGCCACCGCGGCGCUUUCUCAGUCGCUGAGCCAGCCGGCGUCAUUGCCUCCUCUUCCGGCGUUCCCGUACCCCCCUCUACCAUUCCCUCCGUUCUGCACCCAGCCACUGCCGUCUUCAUCUUCGGCUCCGCCGGCAGUCAGUGCAACGACGGACACACCGGGUUCAACGGGCAAGAAGGCAACUCCAAGUUUGGGACUGGCGGCUGGCUCUGCAGCGACGUGCAAGCCAUCCUCGAGCUCGAGAGCAGGACGCCGGCACCGUGUGACAACAACCCUUGCUCCUUCCCCUGCCCCUGGACCUGAAGAUGAGUCGGGUGGCAAGACCGGCAAGAUGUUAUACAGUCACGAAGAAGAUAUCAGGCUGGUAAGAAAUUGUACUUUCAGGUUUUAGUUGACGAUACAAUUGUGUAUGAUUAAUCGAUGCCAACUAUAAUUGAUUAUAGUUUUGUCUAAAACUUUGGUAGUGCGGUGAUGCCAACAAGUAUUGUGGAUUUUAGGUUUCAAUCGAUGGUAGUGAUGAGUAAAAUUAUUGAUGAUUGCUGCAUACAGAGAAGUGGGAUGUUGCUAGGGAUGUGGAAUAAUUAAGCUUUCUCAAUAGUGAAUUUGGGAUGUGCACUAUGAAGGGUAUUGUUUUUCA
Molecule: non-coding RNA, 1137 nt
Organism: Oryza sativa Japonica Group (Japanese rice)
Lineage: Eukaryota; Viridiplantae; Streptophyta; Magnoliopsida; Poales; Poaceae
Source: RefSeq, a predicted model, not a curated record